GAUGAACGCUGGCGGCGUGCCUAAUACAUGCAAGUCGAGCGAACGGACGAGAAGCUUGCUUCUCUGAUGUUAGCGGCGGACGGGUGAGUAACACGUGGAUAACCUACCUAUAAGACUGGGAUAACUUCGGGAAACCGUAGCUAAUACCGGAUAAUAUUUUGAACCGCAUGGUUCAAAAGUGAAAGACGGUCUUGCUGUCACUUAUAGAUGGAUCCGCGCUGCAUUAGCUAGUUGGUAAGGUAACGGCUUACCAAGGCAACGAUGCAUAGCCGACCUGAGAGGGUGAUCGGCCACACUGGAACUGAGACGCGGUCCAGACUCCUACGGGAGGCAGCAGUAGGGAAUCUUCCGCAAUGGGCGAAAGCCUGACGGAGCAACGCCGCGUGAGUGAUGAAGGUCUUCGGAUCGUAAAACUCUGUUAUUAGGGAAGAACAUAUGUGUAAGUACCUGUGCACAUCUUGACGGUACCUAAUCAGAAAGCCACGGCUAACUACGUG
RNAcentral lists this ribosomal RNA (497 nucleotides) under uncultured bacterium. Its description in RNAcentral is "partial 16S ribosomal RNA". It matches the Rfam family "Bacterial small subunit ribosomal RNA", at positions 28 to 507 of the family's 1533-position model. The record is from RNAcentral.